RNAcentral lists this ribosomal RNA (253 nucleotides) under uncultured bacterium. RNAcentral's name for it is "partial 16S ribosomal RNA". It matches the Rfam family "Bacterial small subunit ribosomal RNA", at positions 524 to 776 of the family's 1533-position model. The record is from RNAcentral.
UACGGGGGGGGCAAGCGUUGUUCGGAAUUACUGGGCGUAAAGGGCGCGUAGGCGGCUCUUCAAGUCAGCCGUGAAAUCUCCAGGCUUAACCUGGAAGGGUCGGUUGAUACUGUCGAGCUAGAGUGUGGAAGAGGCAACUGGAAUUCCGUGUGUAGCGGUGAAAUGCGUAGAUAUACGGAGGAACACCGGUGGCGAAGGCGGGUCUCUGGGCCGUAACUGACGCUGAGGAGCGAAAGCGUGGGGAGCGAACAGG